RNAcentral lists this ribosomal RNA (441 nucleotides) under uncultured bacterium. Its description in RNAcentral is "partial 16S ribosomal RNA". It matches the Rfam family "Bacterial small subunit ribosomal RNA", at positions 338 to 795 of the family's 1533-position model. The record is from RNAcentral.
CCUACGGGAGGCAGCAGUGGGGAAUAUUGCACAAUGGGGGAAACCCUGAUGCAGCGACGCCGCGUGAGUGAAGAAGUAUUUCGGUAUGUAAAGCUCUAUCAGCAGGAACGAGACAAGACGGUACCUGACUAAGAAGCCCCGGCUAACUACGUGCCAGCAGCCGCGGUAAUACGUAGGGGGCAAGCGUUAUCCGGAAGCACUGGGUGUACAGGGAGCGUAGACGGCUGAGCAAGCCUGAAGUGAAAGGCGGGGGCCCAACCCCCGGACUGCUUUGGGAACUGUACGGCUGGAGUGCAGGAGAGGUAAGUGGAAUUCCUAGUGUAGCGGUGAAAUGCGUAGAUAGUAGGAGGAACACCAGUGGCGAAGGCGGCUUACUGGACUGUAACUGACGUUGAGGCUCGAAAGCGUGGGGAGCAAACAGGAUUAGAUACCCCAGUAGUC